GAGUAACACGUGGGCAACCUGCCUGUAAGACUGGGAUAACUUCGGGAAACCGGAGCUAAUACCGGAUAACACCGAGGACCUCAUGGUCCUUGGUUGAAAGAUGGCUUCGGCUAUCACUUACAGAUGGGCCCGCGGCGCAUUAGCUAGUUGGUGAGGUAACGGCUUACCAAGGCCACGAUGCGUAGCCGACCUGAGAGGGUGAUCGGCCACACUGGGACUGACACACGGCCCAGACUCCUACGGGAGGCAGCAGUAGGGAAUCUUCCGCAAUGGACGAAAGUCUGACGGAGCAACGCCGCGUGAGUGAUGAAGGUUUUCGGAUCGUAAAACUCUGUUGUCAGGGAAGAACAAGUACCGGAGUAACUGCCGGUACCUUGACGGUACCUGACCAGAAAGCCACGGCUAACUACGUGCCAGCAGCCGCGGUAAUACGUAUGUGGCAAGCGUUGUCCGGAAUUAUUGGGCGUAAAGCGCGCGCAGGCGGUUCCUUAAUUCUGAUGUGAAAGCCCCCGGCUCAGCCGGCGAGGGUCAUUGUAAACUGGGGGAACUUGAGUGCAGAAGAGAAGAGUGGAAUUCCACGUGUAUCGGUGAAAUGCGUAGAGAUGUGGAGGAACA
Molecule: ribosomal RNA, 615 nt
Filed under: uncultured bacterium
Lineage: Bacteria
Description: bacterial SSU rRNA
Rfam family: Bacterial small subunit ribosomal RNA
Source: RNAcentral